CGCAAUGCCCGAAAGGGUGACGAAGCGACGCCGCGUGUGGGAAGAAGGCCUUCGGGUUGUAAACCACUGUCGGGAGUUAAGAAAGGUAAGGAUGUUAAUAGUAUUCUUAUUUGACAAAGGCUCCGGAGGAAGCCACGGCUAACUCUGUGCCAGCAGCCGCGGUAAUACAGAGGCGGCAAGCGUUGUUCGGAAUUAUUGGGCGUAAAGAGCAUGUAGGCGGCUAUGUAAGUCGGUUGUGAAAGCCUUCCGCUUAACGGAAGAAUGGCGGCCGAAACUGCAUAGCUUGAGUGCGGUAGGGGAGAGUGGAACUUCUGGUGGAGCGGUGAAAUGCGUAGAUAUCAGAAGGAACGCCGGCGGCGAAAGCGACUCUCUGGGCCGUAACUGACGCUGAGUGUGCGAAAGCUAGGGGAGCAAACGGGAUUAGAUACCCCGGUAGUCCUAGCCGUAAACGAUGGGCACUAAGUAGAGGGGUUUU
RNAcentral lists this ribosomal RNA (475 nucleotides) under uncultured Planctomycetales bacterium. Its description in RNAcentral is "bacterial SSU rRNA". It matches the Rfam family "Bacterial small subunit ribosomal RNA", at positions 367 to 832 of the family's 1533-position model. The record is from RNAcentral. Lineage: Bacteria; Pseudomonadati; Planctomycetota; Planctomycetia; Planctomycetales.